GCAUAUCAAUAAGCGGAGGAAAAGAAACCAACAGGGAUUGCCUUAGUAGCGGCGAGUGAAGCGGCAAAAGCUCAAAUUUGAAAUCUGGCUCUUUCAGAGUCCGAGUUGUAAUUUGAAGAAGGUAUCUUUGGGUCUGGCUCUUGUCUAUGUUUCUUGGAACAGAACGUCACAGAGGGUGAGAAUCCCGUGCGAUGAGAUGAUCCAGGCCUAUGUAAAGUUCCUUCGAAGAGUCGAGUUGUUUGGGAAUGCAGCUCUAAGUGGGUGGUAAAUUCCAUCUAAAGCUAAAUAUUGGCGAGAGACCGAUAGCGAACAAGUACAGUGAUGGAAAGAUGAAAAGAACUUUGAAAAGAGAGUGAAAAAGUACGUGAAAUUGUUGAAAGGGAAGGGCUUGAGAUCAGACUUGGUAUUUUGUAUGUUACUUCUUCGGGGGUGGCCUCUACAGUUUAUCGGGCCAGCAUCAGUUUGGGCGGUAGGAGAAUUGCGUUGGAAUGUGGCACGGCUUCGGUUGUGUGUUAUAGCCUUCGUCGAUACUGCCAGCCUAGACUGAGGACUGCGGUUUAUACCUAGGAUGUUGGCAUAAUGAUCUUAAGUCGCCCGUCUUGAAACACGGACAC
RNAcentral lists this ribosomal RNA (614 nucleotides) under Candida tropicalis. RNAcentral's name for it is "eukaryotic LSU rRNA". It matches the Rfam family "Eukaryotic large subunit ribosomal RNA", at positions 38 to 664 of the family's 3401-position model. Lineage: Eukaryota; Fungi; Ascomycota; Pichiomycetes; Serinales; Debaryomycetaceae. The record is from RNAcentral.